Long non-coding RNA from Ornithorhynchus anatinus (platypus), 733 nucleotides. RefSeq lists it as uncharacterized. The record is from RefSeq and is a predicted model, not a curated record. The transcript has 3 exons. NCBI's taxonomy places the organism in Eukaryota, Metazoa, Chordata, Mammalia, Monotremata, Ornithorhynchidae.
ACAAUCUGAGCCACCCUGCAGGCCAAUGGGACAACUGUCCACAAGCCCCCUAAGUCUAACUUUGUCAGGCAGGGCAGAUAGAGGAAGAGGAAGAGGGGGAGGAGGAAGGAGAGGAGGAGAGAGGAGAGACUUAGGAUUGAGGAGACUGGUUUUCCAGGAAGAGGAAAGUGCUUGUUUGGAUGCAGUCCGACCUGAGUGUCCACAGGAGAAGGGAGACGCCGAGCAACAAGUUUCUAAGGCCACAGGCUCUCUGCUCCCAAAUCGUCUGUGAUCAAAACACGAAGCAAAAACCAUCCUCAAACCCAGCUUUAUUUGAUGCUUUCUCGUCAGUGCAGUCCUCUACAGAGGUACAGGUGCGGUCCGGCUGCUGCCCACAGCCGAGGAAGGCCCCACACACUAGAACCAGUAACUGGGCCAGGCUACCUUGUUCCUCUUGUCUGGGAAAGGCAAAGAAUUCCUGCCAAAAUCCCCGUCCCCUUCUCUUAAAAAUCCCCAAGCCUGGUUGCGGUUCUGGUAAAAUAAUUUUUUUCACUUUCACUCGGAGGCCAUUUAAUGAAUAUACUGUACGUGAGGCUCUAGGACAUACCUGCUACAUACUUGUUCAUUUCUGCACUGCGGUAAAUCAGAAACAUCUUUCAAGGAAGCUUGUUGGAAUGCAAAUAAGCAUAUUUGUGUUUAAACAGAAGAAGGCAGAGUCUGUUACCAGAAUCCCACUCAGCAGCACAGGCUUGUA